GAGGGUGGCGCUCAGAGGUAGAGCACGUGCUUAGCAUGCACGAGGUCCUGGGUUCAGUCCCCAGUACCUCA
RNAcentral lists this transfer RNA (71 nucleotides) under Camelus bactrianus (Bactrian camel). It matches the Rfam family "tRNA". Rfam says of the family: Transfer RNA (tRNA) molecules are approximately 80 nucleotides in length. Their secondary structure includes four short double-helical elements and three loops (D, anti-codon, and T loops). Further hydrogen bonds mediate the characteristic L-shaped molecular structure. tRNAs have two regions of fundamental functional importance: the anti-codon, which is responsible for specific mRNA codon recognition, and the 3' end, to which the tRNAs corresponding amino acid is attached (by aminoacyl-tRNA synthetases). tRNAs cope with the degeneracy of the genetic code in two manners: having more than one tRNA (with a specific anti-codon) for a particular amino acid; and 'wobble' base-pairing, i.e. permitting non-standard base-pairing at the 3rd anti-codon position. Lineage: Eukaryota; Metazoa; Chordata; Mammalia; Artiodactyla; Camelidae. RNAcentral also lists the same sequence under 2 other names. The record is from Rfam by way of RNAcentral.